RNAcentral lists this transfer RNA (73 nucleotides) under Pteropus alecto (black flying fox). It matches the Rfam family "tRNA". Rfam says of the family: Transfer RNA (tRNA) molecules are approximately 80 nucleotides in length. Their secondary structure includes four short double-helical elements and three loops (D, anti-codon, and T loops). Further hydrogen bonds mediate the characteristic L-shaped molecular structure. tRNAs have two regions of fundamental functional importance: the anti-codon, which is responsible for specific mRNA codon recognition, and the 3' end, to which the tRNAs corresponding amino acid is attached (by aminoacyl-tRNA synthetases). tRNAs cope with the degeneracy of the genetic code in two manners: having more than one tRNA (with a specific anti-codon) for a particular amino acid; and 'wobble' base-pairing, i.e. permitting non-standard base-pairing at the 3rd anti-codon position. The record is from Rfam by way of RNAcentral. Lineage: Eukaryota; Metazoa; Chordata; Mammalia; Chiroptera; Pteropodidae.
GGUUCCAUAGAGUAGUGGUUAGCACAUCUGCUUUACACGCAGUAGGUCCUGGAUUUGAGCCCUAGUGGAGCCA